RNAcentral lists this ribosomal RNA (1737 nucleotides) under Salmonella enterica subsp. enterica serovar Enteritidis. RNAcentral's name for it is "partial 23S ribosomal RNA". It matches the Rfam family "Bacterial large subunit ribosomal RNA", at positions 1214 to 2925 of the family's 2925-position model. The record is from RNAcentral. Lineage: Bacteria; Pseudomonadati; Pseudomonadota; Gammaproteobacteria; Enterobacterales; Enterobacteriaceae.
CUGUGUGUUGUUGGGUAGGGGAGCGUUCUGUAAGCCUGUGAAGGUGUGUCGUGAGGCAUGCUGGAGGUAUCAGAAGUGCGAAUGCUGACAUAAGUAACGAUAAAGCGGGUGAAAAGCCCGCUCGCCGGAAGACCAAGGGUUCCUGUCCAACGUUAAUCGGGGCAGGGUGAGUCGACCCCUAAGGCGAGGCCGAAAGGCGUAGUCGAUGGGAAACGGGUUAAUAUUCCCGUACUUGGUGUUACUGCGAAGGGGGGACGGAGAAGGCUAUGUUGGCCGGGCGACGGUUGUCCCGGUUUAAGCGUGUAGGUGUGUGUUCCAGGUAAAUCCGGUUCACUUUAACACUGAGGCGUGACGACGAGGCACUACGGUGCUGAAGCAACAAAUGCCCUGCUUCCAGGAAAAGCCUCUAAGCAUCAGGUAACAUCAAAUCGUACCCCAAACCGACACAGGUGGUCAGGUAGAGAAUACCAAGGCGCUUGAGAGAACUCGGGUGAAGGAACUAGGCAAAAUGGUGCCGUAACUUCGGGAGAAGGCACGCUGACACGUAGGUGAAGUGAUUUACUCAUGGAGCUGAAGUCAGUCGAAGAUACCAGCUGGCUGCAACUGUUUAUUAAAAACACAGCACUGUGCAAACACGAAAGUGGACGUAUACGGUGUGACGCCUGCCCGGUGCCGGAAGGUUAAUUGAUGGGGUCAGCGCAAGCGAAGCUCCUGAUCGAAGCCCCGGUAAACGGCGGCCGUAACUAUAACGGUCCUAAGGUAGCGAAAUUCCUUGUCGGGUAAGUUCCGACCUGCACGAAUGGCGUAAUGAUGGCCAGGCUGUCUCCACCCGAGACUCAGUGAAAUUGAACUCGCUGUGAAGAUGCAGUGUACCCGCGGCAAGACGGAAAGACCCCGUGAACCUUUACUAUAGCUUGACACUGAACAUUGAGCCUUGAUGUGUAGGAUAGGUGGGAGGCUUUGAAGUGUGGACGCCAGUCUGCAUGGAGCCGACCUUGAAAUACCACCCUUUAAUGUUUGAUGUUCUAACGUGGACCCGUUACCCGGGUUGCGGACAGUGUCUGGUGGGUAGUUUGACUGGGGCGGUCUCCUCCUAAAGAGUAACGGAGGAGCACGAAGGUUGGCUAAUCCUGGUCGGACAUCAGGAGGUUAGUGCAAUGGCAUAAGCCAGCUUGACUGCGAGCGUGACGGCGCGAGCAGGUGCGAAAGCAGGUCAUAGUGAUCCGGUGGUUCUGAAUGGAAGGGCCAUCGCUCAACGGAUAAAAGGUACUCCGGGGAUAACAGGCUGAUACCGCCCAAGAGUUCAUAUCGACGGCGGUGUUUGGCACCUCGAUGUCGGCUCAUCACAUCCUGGGGCUGAAGUAGGUCCCAAGGGUAUGGCUGUUCGCCAUUUAAAGUGGUACGCGAGCUGGGUUUAGAACGUCGUGAGACAGUUCGGUCCCUAUCUGCCGUGGGCGCUGGAGAACUGAGGGGGGCUGCUCCUAGUACGAGAGGACCGGAGUGGACGCAUCACUGGUGUUCGGGUUGUCAUGCCAAUGGCACUGCCCGGUAGCUAAAUGCGGAAGAGAUAAGUGCUGAAAGCAUCUAAGCACGAAACUUGCCCCGAGAUGAGUUCUCCCUGAGACUUAGAGUCUCCUGAAGGAACGUUGAAGACGACGACGUUGAUAGGCCGGGUGUGUAAGCGCAGCGAUGCGUUGAGCUAACCGGUACUAAUGAACCGUGAGGCUUAACCUUACA